RNAcentral lists this transfer RNA (70 nucleotides) under Marmota monax (woodchuck). RNAcentral describes it as "tRNA.Undet". Lineage: Eukaryota; Metazoa; Chordata; Mammalia; Rodentia; Sciuridae. The record is from RNAcentral.
GGAUUUGUGGCUCAGUGGUAGAGCACUUGCCUAGUUGCAUGUGAAGUGCUGGGUUCAAUCCUCAGCACCA